AGUGAGUAGAGUGGCGGACGGGUGAGUAACGCGUGGGAAUCUACCCAGUAGUGGGGGACAACUACCGGAAACGGUAGCUAAUACCGCAUACGCCCUAUGGGGGAAAGGCUUCGGCCGCUAUUGGAUGAGCCCGCGUCAGAUUAGCUAGUUGGUAGGGUAAAGGCCUACCAAGGCAACGAUCUGUAGCUGGUCUGAGAGGACGAACAGCAACACUGGGACUGAGACACGGCCCAGACUCCUACGGGAGGCAGCAGUGGGGAAUCUUAGACAAUGGGCGCAAGCCUGAUCUAGCCAUGCCGCGUGAGUGAUGAAGGCCUUAGGGUCGUAAAGCUCUUUCGCCUGUGAUGAUAAUGACAGUAGCAGGUGAAGAAACCCCGGCUAACUCCGUGCCAGCAGCCGCGGUAAUACGGAGGGGGUUAGCGUUGUUCGGAAUUACUGGGCGUAAAGCGCACGUAGGCGGAUUAGAAAGUUAGGGGUGAAAUCCCGGGGCUCAACCUCGGAACUGCCUCUAAAACUCCUAGUCUAGAGUUCGAGAGAGGUGAGUGGAAUUCCAAGUGUAGAGGUGAAAUUCGUAGAUAUUUGGAGGAACACCAGUGGCGAAGGCGGCUCACUGGCUCGAUACUGACGCUGAGGUGCGAAAGUGUGGGGAGCAAACAGGAUUAGAUACCCUGGUAG
RNAcentral lists this ribosomal RNA (675 nucleotides) under uncultured Rhodobacterales bacterium. Its description in RNAcentral is "bacterial SSU rRNA". It matches the Rfam family "Bacterial small subunit ribosomal RNA", at positions 85 to 793 of the family's 1533-position model. The record is from RNAcentral. Lineage: Bacteria; Pseudomonadati; Pseudomonadota; Alphaproteobacteria; Rhodobacterales.